Molecule: ribosomal RNA, 656 nt
Filed under: Clostridioides difficile
Lineage: Bacteria; Bacillati; Bacillota; Clostridia; Peptostreptococcales; Peptostreptococcaceae
Description: bacterial LSU rRNA
Rfam family: Bacterial large subunit ribosomal RNA
Source: RNAcentral
GCCCGGAGAUAGCUGGUUCUCCCCGAAAUAGCUUUAGGGCUAGCCUCAAGGUGAGAGAUACGGAGGUAGAGCACUGAAUGUCCUAGGGGGUAUUGCACCUACCGAAGACUAUCAAACUCCGAAUGCCGUCAUCUUAUACUUGGGAGUCAGACUGUGGUUGAUAAGAUUCAUAGUCGACAGGGCUACAGCCCAGAUCGUCAGCUAAGGUCCCUAAAUGUAAGUUAAGUGGUAAAGGAUGUGGGAUUGCACAGACAACCAGGAUGUUGGCUUAGAAGCAGCCACUCAUUCAAAGAGUGCGUAAUAGCUCACUGGUCGAGUGAUCCUGCGCCGAAGAUUUCCGGGGCUAAAACUUACUACCGAAGCUACGGCAUCAUUAUGAUGGGUAGGGGAGCUUCCCAUACGGGUUGAAGCAUGACCGUAAGGACAUGUGGACAGGAUGGGAGUGAGAAUGUUGGCAUGAGUAGCGAGAUGUGGGUGAGAAUCCCACAGGCCGUAAACCCAAGGUUUCCAGGGGAAGGUUCGUCCGCCCUGGGUUAGUCGGGACCUAAGCUGAGGCCGAAAGGCGUAGGUGAUGGACAACAGGUUGAUAUUCCUGUACUACCGAUAACCGUUUGAGAGAAGGGAUGACACAGUAGGAUAAGCUAAGCACACUGUUG